Long non-coding RNA from Ornithorhynchus anatinus (platypus), 456 nucleotides. RefSeq lists it as uncharacterized. The record is from RefSeq and is a predicted model, not a curated record. Lineage: Eukaryota; Metazoa; Chordata; Mammalia; Monotremata; Ornithorhynchidae. The transcript is spliced from 4 exons.
UCCCCCACUCUGCCACGUGCCUGCUGGGUGAGCUUGGAGUGCCCCAGGGCAGCAGCGCUGUGCUGGAAGAGCUGACAUGACCCCUGUCAGACAGGCUUCCUGACUGAGAGCCCCGCGAGGGACCGUGUUCAAGCUGUGUGGCCUGACGGGCAGAGCACGGGACUAGGAGCCAGAAGGACCGGCGGGAGAGUACAGUAGAAAGAAGUCCGGAGGAGUUAAAGUGACUUGCCUGAGGAUACACAGAAGUGCAGGGGCAGAGCUGGAGCCGGCCCCCAGGCCUCCUGACUCCCCCAGCCACGACCUUCACCCUCGUCCAUCUCUUCGGGAGCGACACUGCCCGGGCCUGACGGGCAGAGAUGUGCCAUCUGAGUGGAGCGGAGGACUGGACCGUGGAGCCGUUCGGCAAAUCAGAUGAGGUAACUGAGGCCUGAAGAUGUGCGGUGACUUGCCUAAGCA